Molecule: ribosomal RNA, 780 nt
Filed under: Bacillus sp. (in: firmicutes)
Lineage: Bacteria; Bacillati; Bacillota; Bacilli; Caryophanales; Bacillaceae
Description: bacterial SSU rRNA
Rfam family: Bacterial small subunit ribosomal RNA
Source: RNAcentral
CAGUCGAGCGAAUCGAUGGGAGCUUGCUCCCUGAGAUUAGCGGCGGACGGGUGAGUAACACGUGGGCAACCUGCCUAUAAGACUGGGAUAACUUCGGGAAACCGGAGCUAAUACCGGAUACGUUCUUUUCUCGCAUGAGAGAAGAUGGAAAGACGGUUUACGCUGUCACUUAUAGAUGGGCCCGCGGCGCAUUAGCUAGUUGGUGAGGUAAUGGCUCACCAAGGCGACGAUGCGUAGCCGACCUGAGAGGGUGAUCGGCCACACUGGGACUGAGACACGGCCCAGACUCCUACGGGAGGCAGCAGUAGGGAAUCUUCCGCAAUGGACGAAAGUCUGACGGAGCAACGCCGCGUGAACGAAGAAGGCCUUCGGGUCGUAAAGUUCUGUUGUUAGGGAAGAACAAGUACCAGAGUAACUGCUGGUACCUUGACGGUACCUAACCAGAAAGCCACGGCUAACUACGUGCCAGCAGCCGCGGUAAUACGUAGGUGGCAAGCGUUGUCCGGAAUUAUUGGGCGUAAAGCGCGCGCAGGUGGUUCCUUAAGUCUGAUGUGAAAGCCCACGGCUCAACCGUGGAGGGUCAUUGGAAACUGGGGAACUUGAGUGCAGAAGAGGAAAGUGGAAUUCCAAGUGUAGCGGUGAAAUGCGUAGAGAUUUGGAGGAACACCAGUGGCGAAAGCGACUUUCUGGUCUGUAACUGACACUGAGCGCGAAAGCGUGGGGAGCAAACAGAUUAGAUACCCUGGUAGUCCACGCCGUAAACGAUGAGUGCUAAGUGUU